GUGCCAGCCGCCGCGGUAAUACGUAGGGUGCGAGCGUUGUCCGGAAUUACUGGGCGUAAAGAGCUCGUAGGUGGUUUGUCGCGUUGUUCGUGAAAACUCACAGCUUAACUGUGGGCGUGCGGGCGAUACGGGCAGACUAGAGUACUGCAGGGGAGACUGGAAUUCCUGGUGUAGCGGUGGAAUGCGCAGAUAUCAGGGGGAACACCGGUGGCGAAGGCGGGUCUCUGGGCAGUAACUGACGCUGAGGAGCGAAAGCGUGGGGAGCGAACAGGAUUAGAUACCCUGGUAGUCCACGCCGUAAACGGUGGGUACUAGGUGUGGGUUCCUUCCUUGGGAUCCGUGCCGUAGCUAACGCAUUAAGUACCCCGCCUGGGGAGUACGGCCGCAAGGCUAAAACUCAAAGGAAUUGACGGGGGCCCGCACAAGCGGCGGAGCAUGUGGAUUAAUUCGAUGCAACGCGAAGAACCUUACCUGGGUUUGACAUGCACA
This 489-nucleotide ribosomal RNA is filed under the name uncultured organism. RNAcentral's name for it is "SSU rRNA". It matches the Rfam family "Bacterial small subunit ribosomal RNA", at positions 505 to 992 of the family's 1533-position model. The record is from RNAcentral.